This is a non-coding RNA of Manacus vitellinus (golden-collared manakin), 45 nucleotides long. Lineage: Eukaryota; Metazoa; Chordata; Aves; Passeriformes; Pipridae. The record is from Rfam.
AAAAAGGCUCUUUUCAGAGCCACCCACUUUGGUCAUAAAGGGCUG